RNAcentral lists this long non-coding RNA (638 nucleotides) under Lupinus angustifolius (narrow-leaved blue lupine). RNAcentral's name for it is "long non-coding RNA (LANG_LNC002620)". Lineage: Eukaryota; Viridiplantae; Streptophyta; Magnoliopsida; Fabales; Fabaceae. The record is from RNAcentral.
ACUAAGAUAGUGAAGUUAGCUCAAUCAGUGUCAGUCAAGUCUGAGCAAGAAGCACUUAGAGCAAGCGAUGGAUCCGCUGUCGUUGUUGCAAUAGAAGUCUUUGUAGCAGUGGAAGAAAUAGGAGUUCGGGAUCGGUAAUCUUUCCUGUUGAUGCCGUAAAGGAUGUUAGACUUUACUUAGUAGGCGGACCACAUUCAAUGAUGAAAUUGAUUGAUUCAAAGCCAAGCUCGAAGGAAGAACGGGAUUAUCCCGAAAGAAUAAAACCUGACAGGGCAGGAUCGGACGAUGCGCGGUACCCGUUUAGAAAGGAAUUUGAUUCAACGUCAAAAGAAUAUCAUUUAUAUAGACAUUUAUAUAGAAUAGAAUAUGGAAUUCGCAUUCUUGAUGACAAGGAAAGAAAAGUUCAAUAAUAGUAAGGGUAGGAUGGUCUCAAUGAGCUCCUAGAUUUAGCCAAAAGAGCCCCGCCCCAAUAGGCUUUAUCUUGAAUCCCGGGAGUCCAAAGUAUGUUAGAUAGAGGGACGGUACAUAGGGAAAUACUUCUGCGAAUGAUGCAGCUGCUCUAUACGCUGCUUUUGGAGUGGAUGCAGUAAAGGUGUCUCGGGGUACGGCUGGCCGUUGAAAAGGAAAGCGAGUCAAGG